CUUGGUUACCGUUUCUGGCCUGGAAAAAGAGAAAAAAAGAAAAAAACCUUCGUCUUGUCCUAUUUUAUUUUGCAUUUUUAUUUAUUUUAUUUUACUUUAUAUCUAUAUCUAUAUCUAUAUCUAUUUGUUGUAUUCUAUUUUGAUUUUUACGCUCCCGUGACAGGGAAUAAAUAGGCUUUUGCAUAUGAUUAUCAGACUCAUCGUGAGUUUGCCACAGACAAAGAAUCCAUGUUUGGAGAGAGGGCAUUGACACCAGGCUUGACCCGACGACGACACAGCUUAACCUAUUGCUAAAUCUACAUUCAGUAUAUGAUCACAAAAAGGCUCCUUGCAACCCUGCGGGUUCUGGACACACAAGAGCUAUGGGAGGGAAAUGCAAGAGCCAGGUAAUGAGGGUGGGAUGUGGGAUGUGGGAUGUUUGGUUUACCCAUCCAGAGAGUUGAUUGAGGUUUAAGCUCCAGGAACGGAACCGGGCAAUCCAAAGUUCAGCAGAGCUUAUGCCGACUGCACCUAUUCCAAGGCGUAUUUCUUAUUUUCUUGUUCUUUGCUUUUUCCGGUUUUUUUUCUUCUUUUUUCUUUUCCUGCUUCCGUGGAGGCUUGUGCUGCUGGCGAGCUAUUUUUGGAUACUCAUUGCAUGCAUUUUAGCGCUGGGAAGGGAGAGAGAGAGAAGAUAAGAUGGUCAUGGGCGAUAGAGAGAUAGGCGCUGGCUGGGUGGGCCAGCAAGAAAAUCUCGGGCGGGAGAGCGACAAUUGAUUUCAGCAUG
This 763-nucleotide small RNA is filed under the name Histoplasma capsulatum var. duboisii H88. RNAcentral describes it as "Histoplasma capsulatum H88 hypothetical RNA". Lineage: Eukaryota; Fungi; Ascomycota; Eurotiomycetes; Onygenales; Ajellomycetaceae. The record is from RNAcentral.